CCUGAGGGAAAGUUGCAAAGAACUUUGAAGAGAGAGUUCAAGAGGACGUGAAACCGUUUGGAAGGAAACGGGUAGAGCUGUGAGUAGCUCGGUCGAUUCAGACACUCUGCGUCGUUUGGCUGCAGUACGUACAGAUGAAACCCACUGCGCUACGCUUGCUUUCGAUGCAUGAAUGUCGCAUUUCGACCGAGUAGCGCCGGCGGCCGUGCCUGCCCGGCAACGUCAUGUAGCUGUCGAUUCCAAUGAUUUGGCUUUCGUAUACUUGUACGUUGCUUGUGGUGUGUAUGGUUACUUGUGGUGCNGACACUUAUAUUGCGCGAGACUGUCCGUGGUCGGUUAUCGAACGGUUGAUGAGCUUGCUCAGAGAUCGGUCGGUGCUGGUCAUAGUGCACGAGUCGCUNGUUUGCGCCCGCUGGUGAACAAGUCAGCCACCUACCCGACCCGUCUUGAAACACGGACCAAGGAGUCUAACGUGUGCGCGAGUUGCAGGGUUGAAAACCCGAAGGCGUAAUGAAAGUAAAGCUUGUUCGACACAGGAUCCGUUUUUACGCGGAGCACUGUGGCCCCGUUCUGACUGCUUGUCAGUGGAGCGGAGGUAAAGCGUUCGCGUUAGGACCCGAAAGAUGGUGAACUAUGCCUGAGCAGGGCGAAGUCAGAGGAAACUCUGAUGGAGGCUCGAAACGGUUCUGACGUGCAAAUCGAUCGUCAGACUUGGGUAUAGGGGCGAAAGACUAAUCGAACCAUCUAGUAGCUGGUUCC
This 759-nucleotide ribosomal RNA is filed under the name Xyala sp. 3P11K2. RNAcentral describes it as "eukaryotic LSU rRNA". It matches the Rfam family "Eukaryotic large subunit ribosomal RNA", at positions 352 to 958 of the family's 3401-position model. The record is from RNAcentral. Lineage: Eukaryota; Metazoa; Nematoda; Chromadorea; Monhysterida; Xyalidae.